CCGAUCCCGCCGGUACUGGUCCCGCGCCCGCCACGCCUUUUCGAAGGUGGCCGCCGUCAGAUCCUCGGCGACGGGGCCCGCUCCAACGCGAUACCGGAAGAAGUUGUAGACGCGUGGAAGCUGCUCCGCGAAGGAAGCAUCCCAGUCCGUUGCGCGCGCCCUCUGGACCCAGAGCCAGAGGCGCGCCGCCGUCGCGUUACCGUUUGCCAUG
RNAcentral lists this unclassified non-coding RNA (211 nucleotides) under uncultured fungus. RNAcentral's name for it is "sequence contains ITS1". Lineage: Eukaryota; Fungi. The record is from RNAcentral.